Molecule: ribosomal RNA, 614 nt
Filed under: uncultured bacterium
Lineage: Bacteria
Description: bacterial SSU rRNA
Rfam family: Bacterial small subunit ribosomal RNA
Source: RNAcentral
CCUAACACAUGCAAGUCGAACGGUAACAGGAAGCAGCUUGCUGCUUCGCUGACGAGUGGCGGACGGGUGAGUAAUGUCUGGGAAGCUGCCUGAUGGAGGGGGAUAACUACUGGAAACGGUAGCUAAUACCGCAUAAUGUCGCAAGACCAAAGAGGGGGACCUUCGGGCCUCUUGCCAUCGGAUGUGCCCAGAUGGGAUUAGCUUGUUGGUGGGGUAACGGCUCACCAAGGCGACGAUCCCUAGCUGGUCUGAGAGGAUGACCAGCCACACUGGAACUGAGACACGGUCCAGACUCCUACGGGAGGCAGCAGUGGGGAAUAUUGCACAAUGGGCGCAAGCCUGAUGCAGCCAUGCCGCGUGUAUGAAGAAGGCCUUCGGGUUGUAAAGACUUUCAGCGGGGAGGAAGGGAGUAAAGUUAAUACCUUUGCUCAUUGACGUUACCCGCAGAAGAAGCACCGGCUAACUCCGUGCCAGCAGCCGCGGUAAUACGGAGGGUGCAAGCGUUAAUCGGAAUUACUGGGCGUAAAGCGCACGCAGGCGGUUUGUUAAGUCAGAUGUGAAAUCCCCGGGCUCAACCUGGGAACUGCAUCUGAUACUGGCAAGCUUGAGUCUCG